Molecule: long non-coding RNA, 1311 nt
Organism: Pieris brassicae (large cabbage white)
Lineage: Eukaryota; Metazoa; Arthropoda; Insecta; Lepidoptera; Pieridae
Exons: 3
Source: RefSeq, a predicted model, not a curated record
AUAUUCACCUUACCUCCAAAUGAUAGAACAAGCGAGUUUGUAGCGAGUUUCUGAAAAGACACGUUAAUAUGUUAAUACUGUGAACAAUACAGGUAAUAAAUAUUAGUUACACACAUAGAUCUAACUCGGUCACAAGGCGAGGUCGCAUGCGCACACGUGACAAAUCAACUCUACCGACAAAACGUUUAGUAUUUUAUAAUUUACUUGUUAGAUGGAAAUGUAUUUGUGUGUUUUUGUAAUUUUAAUUAGUGCUGUUUGUGCACAGGAUUGCAAGACAAGUGGACAGACGUGUGGUAACUACGAACAAUGUUGCGGCGGAUGCUGUUAUGAAGGACAUUGCAUUGAUACGUACAGAUCGUGUUUGCAGAGUUUCGAUGUGUGUCGUGACCAUGCCUGCAUUGGUGAGGAGAACUGUGUUGAGUACCGACCGCCAGGCUGCCUUCGAUGUGAACCAUUGCCAAUUUGUCGGGUAUAAGUUAAGCUAUGUUACCGUUUUGGGAUAUCGAAAUCGAAAUUUGUUUCGUAAGCGGUAAUGAGAAGGGAAAAUCAUACUAAAUUAUGCUUCCUAAUCAUAAGAGGCUUGUUAUAAGAUUGAAUUAAAAAAUAUAAUAUGUUCAUAUAUAAUGUAUAUAAACAUUAGUGGUUUAAAUAAAGCUUUGUGAAAGCUAUCAGUAGAAGUUUUCCGAACUGAUAUGACUUCGGGGUUUUCCAGAAAAGAGUGUUCCUUGAAGGCCGGCAACAAUCACGUAAGUUUCGUUUAUUUGUUCAUGGGCGGCAGUUGGCACGUUUAAUUUUCAACUGUAUAAGUAGUUUAGCUAAGCUAUAAAUUAGUAAUGUUAAUUACCGUAAAUGGUCAUAAACCGGUAUUAAGUACCGGUUUUGAUAAUAUUCAUAUACUUUUCGUAUAUAGUUUAGACUAAUUAGUUUAACUUGCUCGUAUCGGUUAUAACUUGUUUUGUUUGUUAUUUUCAAUUAAUGGUUUUAUAUUAAAGCAAUGUCUUGUUAAAGUUUUUUUUCUUCAAAGUUUCAUUUCUAUGUAUAUUCCGAUAUUUUUAGGAAGUAAGUGAUCGGCAAUCUACGCCAACAAAAACGAUUCCUCUUAAGUAUUUUAUGGUUACCAACACGCCACAAAGAUUUUGUUUAUAACUAGACAAAAACAAUAGAAUUUGCGCUAGUACAGGAAUUAAUUUUAAUGAUGUGUAUGGACUAUUGCAAGGUAUUAAGUUCCUUUAUUUUGUAGUAUUUUAUCCGCCCUAUCCGCAAACAGUCGAUUUUCCACACGUUCCCAAUUUUUAUAUUUUAGUGAUAUUU